This 460-nucleotide ribosomal RNA is filed under the name uncultured bacterium. Its description in RNAcentral is "partial 16S ribosomal RNA". It matches the Rfam family "Bacterial small subunit ribosomal RNA", at positions 338 to 795 of the family's 1533-position model. The record is from RNAcentral.
CCUACGGGUGGCAGCAGUGAGGAAUAUUGGUCAAUGGGCGUAAGCCUGAACCAGCCAAGUCGCGUGAGGGAUGAAGGUUCUAUGGAUCGUAAACCUCUUUUAUAAGGGAAUAAAGUGCGGGACGUGUCCCGUUUUGUAUGUACCUUAUGAAUAAGGAUCGGCUAACUCCGUGCCAGCAGCCGCGGUAAUAAGGAGGAUCCGAGCGUUAUCCGGAUUUAUUGGGUUUAAAGGGUGCGUAGGCGGCCUUUUAAGUCAGCGGUGAAAGUCUGUGGCUCAACCAUGAGAGUGCGGCGCGAACUGGAGACCUUGAGUGCGCGGAAGGCAGGCGGAAUUCGUGGUGUAGCGGUGAAAUGCUUAGAUAUCACGAAGAACCCCGAUUGCGAAGGCAGCCUGCCGCAGCGUUACUGACGCUGAAGCUCGAAAGCGCGGGUAUCGAACAGGAUUAGAUACCCCAGUAGUC